CCUACGGGAGGCUGCAGUCGAGAAUCAUUCACAAUGGGGGAAACCCUGAUGGUGCGACGCCGCGUGGGGGAAUGAAGGUCUUCGGAUUGUAAACCCCUGUCAUGUGGGAGCAAAUUAAAAAGAUAGUACCACAAGAGGAAGAGACGGUUAACUCUGUGCCAGCAGCCGCGGUAAUACAGAGGUCUCAAGCGUUGUUCGGAAUCACUGGGCGUAAAGCGUGCGUAGGCUGUUUCGUAAGUCGUGUGUGAAAGGCGCGGGCUCAACCCGCGGACGGCACAUGAGACUGCGAGACUAGAGUAAUGGAGGGGGAACCGGAAUUCUCGGUGUAGCAGUGAAAUGCGUAGAUAUCGAGAGGAACACUCGUGGCGAAGGCGGGUUCCUGGACAUUAACUGACGCUGAGGCACGAAGGCCAGGGGAGCAAACAGGAUUAGAUACCCGAGUAGUC
Molecule: ribosomal RNA, 446 nt
Filed under: uncultured bacterium
Lineage: Bacteria
Description: partial 16S ribosomal RNA
Rfam family: Bacterial small subunit ribosomal RNA
Source: RNAcentral